Molecule: long non-coding RNA, 33896 nt
Filed under: Physcomitrium patens
Lineage: Eukaryota; Viridiplantae; Streptophyta; Bryopsida; Funariales; Funariaceae
Description: long non-coding RNA (PPAT_LNC009463)
Source: RNAcentral
GAAUAGUCAGGAAAAGUAGUUAUCAUCUGUAAUAUAGGAGUUAAUAUCUGAGGGUAGUAUAAGGAGGAUGGGAGAGGGGAAAAAAAUGCCAGACUGUGAGAGUUGUAAGCCGAGGGCCAUACUGUGAUAGUCAUGAGCCGAGGGCCAUUGCUGUGAUAGUGUGAGCCGGGGUAAGCUUGGUGCUACCUCUUUUCUUUUGUUUGUUAUUUUCUUUGAAUAAGAGGAUUGAGAGUUUCUGAAUAUUGUGAAGUGAAUUAUGGAAUGGAAAUGUGAUUGGUAUUAUUUGAGAAGAAGAAAGAUUGAAUGUUGAAAUCUGAUUGUAGUUCAGCAGAGAGAAUGAGUCUGUAUUUGUGUAAAAUAUUGUAAUGUGAAUGGCAGUUUUGUGUGAAGAAUUCUAGUGAUUGGAACGAGGAUAAUUGUAUGCUAAAAGUUGUGAGGGCGUAGUAUUACAGUUGGAGAUUAUGAGGGUGAAUAUAUUGGUGGAAAUAGCAGUUAUUGGUAUGAUUGAAUUGCUAUAAAGAAGAGACCGAUAAGGUGAAAGAAGAGAUUAUAGUUUCCUUCUGUGUUCAGAUAUUGGAAAUAGAGACGAUACAUUCACGAGAUAUUUAAUUGUGUGACCCUAACAUGAACGCUUAAGCAACUAGUCAUUUCUCGUGUUCGAAUCUCCCUAUAUGGAUUUAUUUUGGGAAGUUUCUUCCAGAAUAAAUAAAACGAGUAAUCACAAUAGUUUAUUAUAAAAUGAAUUAGCUGAAUUCAAAGAAUAUAUUGAAGAAAAUCUGGCUAAGAAUUUUAUACGCCAUUCCAAAUUACCAGCAAGAGCUCCAAUCUUAUUUGUGAAGAAGAAAAAUGGAUCAUUGCGAAAGUAUGUUAAUUAUCAAGGACUCAACAAGAUCAUUGUUAAGAAUAGAUAUCCUCUAUCUUUGAUAUCCGGACUUCUCGAUCAAUUGAAUCAAGCUAAGAUCUAUACAAGAAUAGAUCUAUGGAGAGUAUGAAAUCUAAUACGUAUUAAGGAAGGAGAUGAAUGCAUUUUGAACUAGAUAUAGGCAUUUUGAAUACAACGUCAUGCCUUUUAGACUUAUAAAUGUAUCGACAGCUUUUCAACAUUUAAUGAAUGAUGUUUUUUUGAGAAUUUUUAGAUGAUUUUGUUGCCUGUUAUCUGGACAACAUCUUGAUCUAUUCUAAAAAUACAUAUGAAUAUGAACUUCAUGCUCGACAUGUGUUACAAAAAUUAAGAGAUGCACAGCUCUAUGUCAAGAUAGAAAAGUAUGUAUUUCACACUACUGAAGUUGACUUCUUUGUAUACAUUAUUUUAAAUGAUGAACUUAUGAUGGAUUCUAAAAAAGUUCAAACAAUUAUAGAUUAGAAGAUCCAAAAAUGGUAAGAGAUGUCUAAUACUUUUUGGGCUUUGCCGACUAUUUUCGAAUCUUCAUCAAAGACUUCUCUCGAGUUGCAGCUCCCUUUAUAUGUUUGACUUGCAAAGACAAACUUGAGUGGAGUAAAGAAGCUAAAGCAUCUUUUGAAACUUUGAAGUUAGCCUUUACUUCUACACCAAUCUUCUAUUGUGUCAACUUUUUUAAGGCAUUUUUAAUGGAAACAGAUGCAACAGACUUUGCUUUGGGUGUUGUAUUAUCACAAAUGGAAGUAAAUGAUAUACUUCAUCUAGUAGCUUUUUAUUCCUAAAAAAUUUCAGCAAUCGAGAUUAAUGAUGAAAUUGUAGAAUAGAUAUUAAUUUGUUUUUGAAUUAUAUUGGUAAAAUAUACUAAUAGUCCAUAGAAUAGGCAAUUCAGGAGGAUGGAUGAUUGAUUUAGUUAUUAAAUGUGAUUAAUUGCAGAAUUAUGGUUAGAAUCUAGAAAAUCAGAAGAAAUUAUAAAGGAGUUGUAGAAGUUAGUUUAAGGACCAGAUUGUGCUAGUCAUGAGCCAAGGUAAGCUUGGUGCUACUUCUUUCUUUGUUUAUUUUUUGGAUUUUUUUUUCUUUAUAAAAAAAGAGUUAUAGAUAGUUUCUCAAAAAUGUGAAGUAAUGUUUUGGAAUGAAAAGAGAUUUGAUAUUGUCAAAAGAAGAAUUUAAUUUAUUGAAUGUAGAGUUCUACAGUGGUAAAUUAAAAGAGAAUAAUUAGAAAUAUUUGUGAAGAAUAGAUAUGAAUGGAAGGAUUAUAAUACAUUAAGUAUUGAGAAUUGAGAGUGAUUCAUUAGAAGGAGUCUGUAGAGUUUGGAAUUCUGUGAAGAAGUGUAUUGAGAAGGAUAGUUAGUGGUGAAGGAUUCUAGUGUUUGAAUUAUGAAACGAUUAUGUACUAUCUUUUAGGAUAAUGCGGGGAUACACAUUGUUGUUAUCAAUGAUGGUAGAGUACUAUUAGGAAGUGGAAAACAUUGUGGUGUUCCUUGGUAUUUUUAGUGAUUUGAAAUAUGGUUAAUUGUAUGAUCUUAAGAAGUAAAAUUCAUGUGCUUAGUCUUUCCCUGCAUUUGAAUCUCCCUCUACAGGUUUAUUUUGAAAGAAAUUUGUAGAAUAAGUAAAACGAUAAUUACAUUUUGGCGCCAUUGCAGGAGAUUGACAAUAAUAUUGAGCAUUAAGAAUUAGCUACCGAUUGAAUAGAUAAAAAAUAAAAAGUAGACUGAGUAGAAUAUAAUGAAAGAGUAUGAUUAUUAAGAAUGAGAACUCAACAAUAAAGAAAAUACGAUAGUCAAAAGAAAGAAUAUAAAGAUCAUAAGCAAGAAAUUUGUUACGUAAUGAGCAAGAACAAAAGUUAAAAAGGAAUCAUCGACAAAGUUAGAUUAAGCCAUGGUUGUAUGCCUAUCGGCAUAUCCAAGUAUAUCCAAAAGUUGAUCGACAUCUAAUAUUUCAGAAGUAUGUACCGUUAGAGAUAUUGCUAAGAGUACUCGCAAAAAAUUUGGUCAAUAGUCUAGUGUUUCCCUUGAGGCUGUUAACUACAAGUGGGGGCAUCAUAGAAAAAUUGGAUACUCCAUUGGGUAUAUUUUCAAUAAUAGAAGUUGUCGAUUCUGUCAAAACUGGUUCUAUAGAAUGGCAUAAAUUACUGGUUAAUAAGGGCCAAUUCAAUGGAUUUCAAAAUCCAUCAUUUUCAUCCACAAUUCGAGCAAAUAACUUAUUUAGAGAUAAUAUUAGCAAAUUAAGGAAACUUGAAAGUUUAGAACAAAGAAUUGGAGAAGGUGUCAGUUAUGUUAACAAAAGAUUAUAUCAUACAUUAUUCUCUUCAAUAGCAAUGGAUGGUCAAGCGGUUCCAAUAGCAGUAUAAAUGGAUGACAUGAGCGAUUGUGUAACGAGCGUGGCUCCAUUAUUUAUUUUUUGGAGCUUCCCGGAUGCAGAUUUUGAUCAAUAUUUGUCUUAGUUUCUGACAGGAAGUAUAGCCAAUAAUGGAAGAACCAAAGAUAUUUGGUUAUGAUGGUUGCUAGCAACCUUAAAGGACAUGGCAUUUGAAUGGGACAACCGCCAACCAAUGGAUCAAUUUUCGAAUUAGAAAGUAUUGAAGAAUGUAUUUUUAAUCCAUUUUUGGCAUAUUGGUUUUGAAGACCACCUUGCAAAGAGAUUAAUGAAUUGUAAAAUGAUCCUGAGGGAGGCAAUGGAAUCGUACUAUGGCCAAAUGGUUGAUAUACUCAAUAAAAAGGUCGAAUCACCUAAUGUCAGAGGUAUUUAUCUUAUUCAUAUUAAUCAAUGGUUUGCACUUACUAGAGCUAAAAAUGUUUGUAAAGGAAGCUCAACAUGUUAUGGUAUCUGCAUCCCUUAAUAGAACCAAGGUUUGGGAGGAAUGCCAUUAUGAUCAGUUUUUAAAUGUGGGAGCCAUGAUGAUUCCAAUUCAAGGUAGAUAUCAAAAUCUAACUUAGAAUGAAUCAGUGGGUAGUUAUCCAUUGUUGUUAGAAACAUGGGCCAAUUACAGUGUCAAUAUUCAAGGGUCAGUUAAUGUCACCUCAUUGUAAGCUAUACCACCAAACGUGACAACGGUGUAUGCUCCAUAUUCUCUGUAUCAACAACAAGCAUUAACUACGAUAAAAAUAUCAAUAAUAGCAGCUCUAAAAGAUUUUAAUGAAACCUUAUUAUUGAACCUGAUGAAGAAAAUAGAAGAAAUGGCCAUCUAUAUGGCCAAGGAUAAGGAAAAGAGAUAAAAGCCUACCAAUACUAGGACCAAUGUAUGGUGUAGUAAUUGUAAGGGCUACGGUCAUUUGAUAACAAAAUGCCCUUCACCCUCACAAAUAAUGGAUCAAUGUACAUUUUGUUGAGGACAUCACUUAACAGCUAAUUAUUGGAAUUAGCAAAGGCAACAACAAUUCAAUAAUGAGACAAUGAUUCCACCAACUCAGUGAAACAUCAAUCAAGUUUAAAUGAAAAAUAUAUUUGGAUGGAAUGGAAAUCAAUUUAAUUGAUAAAAUCAAGCAUUUAAUAACUUUCAAAGUUUCAAUUUUAAUGAUGGAUCUGCAACGAAUUUCCAGAACUAUGAUAAGGAGCAGUAGAAGUAUCAGCAAUAUGCUCUAUUCAUGCCAUCAAAUCAAGUUCCCUCUGUACCUAUGGGACAACUAAAAUUAUUUUCUAACCCUACAUAGAACAAGCAUAGUAGGUAUAUACUGAUGGAGACACCCAAUAUGCCUUAUGGAGGUACAAGAAGACCACUUCAUUGUUACCAUUGUAGACAGAUUGGUCAUUAUGCUAGUGAAUGUCUCUAUCCCAAAGCCAGUGAGAAUUAUGCACCAAUUUGUGGGAAUUGCAAGCAAUCGGGGCAUUUGUAUCAGCAAUAUAAUGCUCUAUUGUCGUACUGUAAAUACUUACAGUAUGUAAAAAUUAGUUAAAACAUAUUAUAUGUUAAUAAAUUUAGAUGUGUAUUAGAAUGGCUAGUAGAUUAAAUUAAAAGGAAUUGGUAUAAGAAACUUUACUUUGUUUCUUUACUUGUUUUGAUUUUGACAUUAAAAAAAAAUAUAAGACCUAAAUGUUUAAUAUGAAGCCUUAGGAGAAGGUGGAAGCCUAAGGAUGAAAAUCUAAACUAAUAGGAAGCUAAUUGGGAGAAAUGAAAGCAAGGCCUGGUCGGAUGAAGGUAAGGAAUGGGGAACUUCAUCCCUAUUGAUCGAAUACCAUGUUCAAUGGGCUUUGAGGAGGCUAACUGCGAUCUUAACAAGGAUUUCAAUGACUUCAAAGAAGGAACUCGAGCUUUGGAGGCUAGGAUCAGUAAGUUUAGGAUUUUGGGUAUAAUUUGGGUGAAGAGUUUGUGUGAUUUCAAGUUUUUGUGAAGGAAAUAUAGGUAUUCAAAGUUAAGGUAUUAAUUUAAGACAUAUUAUUAUUCUUUUGAGGAUACGAGAAGUUAUACGAUAGUUUUUGAAGAUCUAAAGGUGUGGUUGGAACAACGAUUUUAAGGCCUACACUUUUUAUAAAAGAAUUAAUGAUUUUAGAGUUUAUAUGAAAGAGUUAUAAGGAGUUGAAGGCUACGCUUUCAAAUCAAAGGUAGUAAGUGAGUGGUUUUGUUUACAGUAAUGGUUGGAGCCAUAAUUUGAGUUUUUGGACAAAUUUUUGGCUCAAGCUUUUUUUGGAAAAUAUAAAAUUUUGUGUUAAAAAGCUAUACAUAUAAAUUUUGUAGAAUUUGAGCUUAUAUUUUGUGAGAUAUGAAGAAAAUUGCACGUGGAUAUAUAAAGAUAAGGGUUUGAAGUGACUAUUAGGGUUUUCAAGAUAUCUCAAGAUCCACAAUAAAUUUGUAGUUGAAAUUUGUUGUAGAAGUUAAUAAAAAUACAUCAGUAUCUCAUGUAAAAUUUGAGUUUGUUUGAAUGGUCAGAUUAGAAGAUAUGACGUGUUGAAGUUUGGAAAAAUUUCCACAUGAGGAUAUACAAGGUUUUAGAGGAUUUUAUCAUAUUUUGGGUAUUGUUGGUUACUUGAGACUUGUGUAUUUGGUAUAAUUGCUCAAAAGAAAAAAUUUAUAUAUAAACUUAGGGAUUUUCUUAUUUUAAAGCUUGAUUGAAUAAUUAGUGACAAUGAGAAGCUCAGCGUUUUCUUGAGGCAAAUUCUCUCUACCCCGACAACGUUCAAUUUCAAUAAUCAAGACGAGUAGAUACCAAAGCCAAGUAAAAAUUGAGGAGAUAAAUCAAAGUCCUCAAAAUUCUCCAGUAAAUCGAGUAGAAUGUGUCUAAGCUAUUAUUACUAGAAGUCAGCAAAAAAAAAAAAGACCAAUUCAACAUUUGAGUGAUCCUGAUGCGAAGGGCCAAUUUGAUCCAAUUACGGGGCCAUCCAAUCCAGCUCUUGUUAUGGGCUUCUUACCUAAUAUGAGACUUGAUUUGGUUGCGCAAUCCAAUGAUGUCUCAAUCAUGGAGGCUUUGAUUUUGUUCCAAGCAGUCUGGUUCUCUAUGUAGUUUCAAGAAACAUCCUAUCUGUUGAAAAAUCCUCUCAGGGGUGGAAAUUCUAAGAAUGCUCUGACUGUUGUUCUACUUCCAAGUCUAAGAUGAAAGAAUAUCUUACCUCACGGAGUUAAACUCAAACCAAUGAAAAGAAAGAGGGCCUUGGAAAUUAUCCUAAAUAUAAAAUCUUAUGACAUUUUGAAGGAUCUGGAUACUAUUUGGCCUUCUAUUUCUAUGAAGUAACUUCUAGCGGUUGCACAAGAGUGCCAUUCUACAUUGAAUUCAUUGUUAACACGGCAUAGGCAACGUAAUAAGAAAGUUUGUGAAGUCAGUUUGAACCUUGAUCCAGGUGCACCAACCAUCAAUUUUCAAUUGAUGGUAUUAUGAUCUCGGGUGUUCAAGUGGAUGGUGGUUCUAGCAUCAAUUUAAUAAACAUUCAUACAAUAGAUGCUUUAGAUUUGGAACACUUAGUAUCCACGAUAUUAUUAUUAUGAAUGGCAGAUCAUUGCCGGGUUAAAUUAAUGGAUAUUUUACGGAGUGUUCAAAUUAUAAUUGUUAAUAUUGCAUAUGAAAUCGACUAUAUCAUCUUUCGGUUAUAACAUUUGAUUUUAUUGUAUCCAAUCUUAUUAGAAUGACCUUGGUUUUAUCAAGUAAAGAUCAAUAAUGAUUAGGAUCAAAGUACUUUGAGAAUUGGCAUGGGCGGAGAUAAAAUGGUAUUACAAAUGUAUACAGUAUACUAUCACGGGGAGUCUCAAUUACCAGCGUUUGAAUUGGGGUUGGACGAUAAGUUUAGCUCCAAUAAUGAAAUAGUAGCACCAAUUACGAAGGUGCUCAUAGAGGCAACACAAUACCGUGGAGUGAUAUAUCAAUGUGGAGGUACGGAGGAGUACGUGAUAUAUCCAAUGGAUUCAAAAAACUUUGAUUAUGUUAAUAUUGAUUAGAUGACCAAAUAUAAUGUGCAUAAUAUCAGUGUUCGAGACAUAAGAUUCAGUACUUUGAACAUGUCAGACUUAUCAACUAAUUUUAAACUAGUACGGAGAUUGAAAAAUAAUAUUGCCGUUGUACCUUUAUGUCAAACUAUCAACUUGGCGACCAAAAAAAAUUCUUAGACAAUUAAGGUCUAUGAAGGUAUUAAGGAGUAGGAGUUGACCUAUUGGAUAGAAUUUUUUUUGUAUCAUAAAUCUAUUUUUGCUUGCACUUAUAAUAAUUUAAAAGGCAGCCUUGUUAAGAUCUAUGAAUAUCAUAUGAUUUUAGAGAAGAUCCCUAAUCCAGUAUGGCAGAGGCAACAUCGCCUUAAUCCUAAAUAUUUCUUCAUGGUGAAGGAAGAAUUAGACAAGCUUCUUGUGGUUGGUUUUGUUUACUUAAUACCAUAUAGUGAGUGGAUUUCUCUAAUUGUGAUGGUGCUGAAAAAGAAUAGAAAAAUCCAAAUUUGUCAGGAUUUUUGGAAACUUAAUGUAGCCACCAAAAAGAAUUACUUCCCAUUACCUUUCACAAAUAGUAUAUUGGAUGCCAUAGCAGAUCAUGAAUGUUAUUCUUUCCUAGAUGGAUUUUUUGGAUGUAAUCAAGUUCAAAUUGUAACAAAAGAUCAGCUCAAGAUGACCUUUAUUAUGAAUUGGGGCACAUUUGCCUAUCGCUUGAUGCCUUUUGGAUUAGAUAACACUCUACCACAUUUCAAAGAGUGAUGACUCGAGCCUUCCAAGACUAUCUCUGGAUAUUUAUGGAGAUCUUUUUAGAUGACUUUUGUGCAUUCAGUACAAAACAAAAUCAUCUUAAUUAUCUAGGAAAAUGUUUGAUUAAGUGUGCUAAGUUUGGAAUAUUAUUGAACUUGAAUAAUUAUCAAUUCAAUGUUCCAUCAAGAAAAUUAUUGGGACAUAUUGUCUCCAGUCAUGAUAUUGCUACAGAUCUUGAAGCAUAUAAUAAACUUAUUCACACUAGAGAUGGUCUCUGGUGUUCGAGAGUUCUUCGAUCAUGUCAGUUAUUAUCGAAAAUUUAUUCAUUUAUUUACAAUUAUUUGUCAAUCUUUGACAAACUUAUUGAAGAAACCUCCAUCAAAUGGGACUAGUUCCAUCUGGACCAUGGAGUGUAUUGUGGCCUUUAAAGCAUUGAAAUCAAAAUUGGUCUCUAGACUAAUAUUGGUAGCCCCUCGUUAGAUGGAGCCCUUUCAUAUAUACAUUGAUACAUGCAAUGUGGCUAUUGGAUUGGUGCUAAGUCAGAAGGAUGGCAAAGGUCUCGAUCAUCCUAUCUAUUAUGCUAAUUAGCAAUUAGUGGCUGUCAAAUGUAAUUAUACUAUUACUCAAAAAGAAGCGUUAGAUAUGAUAUACUCAGUUAAAAAAUUUCAGUACUAUUUGCUUGGGUAUCCGUUUGUAUUUUAUGUGAAUCAUGAUGCCCUCAAAUACAUUAUUAAUAAGUCUCAAUUAAAUAGGUACAUUGUUCGAUGGAUAUUACUCCUACAAGAAUUCAAUUUUACGAUUGUCAUACAAUCUAAGAAGAAACAUGCAAAUAUUGAUCAUUUAUCCUGGUUGUCUAAUAUUCUUGCCAACGAGCCUGUCCUUGAUGCUUUUCUCAAUGCCAAAUUAUUUGUGGUGGAUGUGAUUUCUUCCAAGUAUAAUAUAAUCAUUCAGUUUUUGACCUUCUACACCUUUCCACGGACUUUCAUUGACUAACUUAAGAAGCAACUCAUUCUGAAGAGUGCUCCGUAUAUGAUGAUUCUUGAUGCUUUACAUAAACAAGGCAAAGAUGGUAUUUUAAAACGUUGUAUCUUUCCAACUGAAGUACAAUUGAUACUAGAGGAUUGCCAUUUGGAUAGUUGUAGUGGUUAUUUUACGAAAGAUAUUCUUGCAAGGUUUUAAUGACCAGAUAUUAGUGGUCCAAAAUAUUUUUUGAUGUGCACCAAUUUAUUCAUUGUUGUGAUCCCUAUCAAUGAAUUAGUCGACCCACGGGUACUUCAGUGAUGCCGAUAGUACCAAUCUUGGCACAUACAUCAUUUGAAAAAUGGAGUAUUAAUUUUGUCAGUCCCAUCGCUUUAGCAUCAAAACUUGAGAAGAAGUAGUAUAUUUUAAUUGCCACGGACUAUGUAACAAAAUGGGCAGAGGCUAUUGCUACCCACAAUAAUAAUACUAAUAUAGUAGCCACUUUUCUAUACAAGAAUAUUAUAACUUGAUUUGGGUGUCUAAAGGAAUUGGUUAGAGAUUGCGGCACCCAUUUCAUAAAUGCUACCAUAGCAGCCUUGCCAAACACAUAUGAGAUCACGCAUCAAAAAAUCACUCCAUAUCGUCCUCAUACUAAUGGACAAAUAGAAAAGACCAAUGGAAUUUUGUGCAAAGUCUUGACUAAGACAAUUUUGGGGGUAGGUACUGAUUGGGAGACCAAACUCUUUGUGGCUUUGUAGGCAUAUUGUACCGCAUAUAAAGUAACUACCAAGUCUACCAAUUAGUUUAUGGGCAAGAGACAAUUUUAUCCAUUGAGUUAGAGGUUAAAAGUUUACGGCUUGCCUUGGAUGAACGACUCAGUGAUAAAGAGUCAAUACACUUUCGGUUGGCAAAAUUGGAGGAAUUGGAUGAAAUAUGGGCUAUAAUUCUUUUCAAUAUGGAAGCAAUUCAAAAAUGGAAGAAAAAUUACUAUGAUAGUAAACUGCGUCUAAAGAGUUUUAUGCCCAAUGAUUUGGUAUUACUGUAUAAUAGCCAGUUUAAUUAUUUUUUGGGUAAAUUUUAAGUUCACUGGUAUAGGCCGUAUUGCAUGGUUGAAGGUUUUUUCAAUGAUUUAUUUAAUUGAAGGAUUUCAUGGGCUUACGAUUCAGUAUCCACAUUAAUGGGAACCGAUUAUGGUUAUAUAAUACAUAAAACUCGAGACAUGUUUUCAUUUUUUUAGAGGAGGUGUCUUUGAAUGGACUCAUGGUAGACUUAAUUAUGGUAUAAGUGCAGUAGGAUAUAGAGGCAAUAGAAAGGAUAGUUAGUAAUUACUAAUGUGUUAGAUGGGACAUAGGUGAGAAACAGAUAGUAUGUAUAACAUGUUGUCAUUAUCACCAAGUACUAAGAGAAUAAGAAUGGGGCACUAGUUAGUGAUCAUUCUGUGGUAUCGUUUUGGGUUGUUUUUUUUAGAUUGUCAUUUCUUGUGUUUUUUGUAUAUUCAAGAGUAGUAGUUCUAGUUAAGAGCUUGACCGAGGGAGCAUCAUGGCAAUUGAAAGUGUAAAGCAAGCUACAAACAAAGAAGACAGUGGCCAAAAUGUGAGAGCUAAACGUCCAUCAAAACCGCCUUCUAUAAUAAUGGUUCAGCAAUAUGAGGCUUGGACAAAAGAAAAAGAACACAUCUUAUGAAUUGUCAAAAGAAAAUGGAACAAAUUGAUUCAGAAUUGCAAGACAUGGAAUUUAGAACGGGAGAAACUCAAAUGUCAGUUGCAAGCAAAAAAGGACAAGGUAAAGUUAUUGGGAAAAGUGAAAGCGGUAUUGAAUGACCAAUCUAGAUGUAAAACAAAGAAAUUGAGGUCUAAAAUCAAAGUUUUACAAGUUGAGGUGCCAAAUUGAUGGAAGGGUUAAUUGUGAGGAGUUAGUCACAAGUGUCGAUUGAAAAUAUCUUAAAAUAGAUGAGUCAGCAAUAACAUUAGCUGGUUUUCUAGGAUGCCCAGAUCUUGAAAUUAGAGGCUAAAGUCCGUGAAUUGAGAGAAUAUAAUGAAGAUCUCUCAGCCCAGUUGACAAAGGAGUUGAUGGAAGGAUUGGAAGAGGAGGAAGAUUUGCAAUUAGAAUUAGAAUUGAUGAAACCAAUAACAAAUAAUACAGCAAUUGAUCAAUUAGGAGGGCCAAAGAGGAUAAUAAUUUUAUAGAGUUUUAUUAAGUAGUUUUUAGAUAGGUAUCAAUUGUGUGUUUGUGAAGAUGCUGCACAGAUAGGAGUGGGGCUAUGUAGAAUCAAUAUUAAUUUGUUUUUGAAUUAUAUUGGUAAAAUAUACUAAUAGUCCAUAGAAUAGGCAAUUUAAGAGGAUGGAUGAUUAAUUUAGUUAUUAAACGUGAUUAAUUAGAGAAUUAUGGUUAGAAUCUAGAAAAUCAGAGGAAAUUAUAAAGGAGUUGUAGAAGUUAGUUUAAGGACCAGAUUGUGCUAGUCAUGAGCGAAGGUAAGCUUGGUGCUACUUCUUUCUUUGCUUAUUUCUUGGAUUUUGUUUUCUUUGUAAAAAAAGAGUUAUAGAUAGUUUCUCAAAAAUGUGAAGUAAUAUUUUGGAAUGAAAAGAGAUUUGAUAUUGUCAAAAAAAGAAUUUGAUUUAUUGAAUGUGGAGUUCUACAGUGGUGAAUUAAAAGAAAAUAAUUAGAAAUAUGUGUGAAGAAUAGAUUUGAAUGGAAGGAUUAUAAUACAUUAAGUAUUGAGAAUUGAGAGUGAUUCAUUAGAAGGAGUCUGUAGAGUUUGGAAUUCUGUGAAGAAGUGUAUUGAGAAGGAUAGUUAGUAGUGAAGGAUUCUAAUGUUUGGAUUAUAGAAUGAUUAUGUACUAUCUUUUAGGAUAAUGCGGGCUUACACAUUGUUAUUAUCAAUAAUGGUAGAGUACUAUUAGGAAGUGGAAAACAUUGUGGUGUUCCUUGGUAUUUUCAGUGGUUCAAAAUAUGGUUAAUUGUAUGAUCUUAAGAAGUAAAACUCAUGCGCUUAGUCUUUCCUUGCAUUAGAAUCUCCUUCUACAGAUUUAUUCUGAAAGAAAUUUGUAGAAUAAGUAAAACAAUAAUUACAAAAAUCCACGACAAAGAGCUUCUUGCAAUUGUAGAUUUAUUUUGAGAAUGGUGUCAUCAUCUAGAAGGUACUUCUAACAAAAUCACCGUAUAUAUGAAUCACAAGAAUCUCGAGUAUAUCAUGUCAAUACAUAUUUUAAAUUAUUGCCAAGUCCAUUGGAGCAUGUCUUUAUCAAGAUUUGAUUUCAAGAUCACAUAUCGACUCAAAAAACAACAAGGUUUGUUAGACGCCCUUUCUAAACAUUCUUAUUUUGUACCAAAAGAAGGAGAUGCAUCUUUUGAUUAGCAAAGAACAAUCUCUUGAAGCUAGAGCAUUUUCAUCUUCGAGUAAUGAAAUCAACAUUGAAUGUUGAUUCGACCUUUAUAAAAUAAAUCCAAUCAAGUAUGUCUUCUGAUUCUCUUGUUUUGAAUAUUAAGAAUCCUUCUUCUAAGUCCCAGGAUACUUCUAAGUUUGAAUUCAAAAAUAACCUACUCUAUUUUGAAGGUCAAUUAUAUGUUCCAAAAGGAGAAGUACGAUUACAUUUUUGUGAUGUGGUUUGGCUACUAUAUGAAAAAAAUAUAAUUAUGUACUUAAUAUAUAAUUCAUUAAGUAACAUGGUGAGAGCCAUGUUAGUAGAUUUUAGUUGAUUGUAGAAUAUAAUUUGAUUAUUAUCUUAACAAGAGGUUGUUUAAAAAGAUUACUAUAGAAUUUAUACAACUUUAAUUUCUUUUGUGAUAGUCGCUUUUAAGAUUGGUUUUGGUUGAAAGUAACUUCUAAAUAUUUAGAGUCACCUUUGUUAGACAUUGGUGACCUUUGAAAACUUAUAUUGGUUCUUUUAUUUGGUGUUUAGAGUAUAAAUUAUAUAAAUCUUAUAAAAAAAAGGAUUGAAGAAGGAUUUUGGUAGCAAAGGGAGUAACUAGGGCACCAAUAUAGAUGAAUGGAGAUGGAUGAUGAAAAUCUACAUUCCUAUUGGCCAAAAAUCAUGACUAAUGGGCUUUGAGAAGGCUGCCUGAGGCCAUAUUAGAGAUUAGGGUUAGUUUGUCGAGGCCAUUUGAGCUUUGAAGGAUAGGGUCAGCAAGUUUAGAUUUUUGGCUAUGGUUUUGGUACAAAUCUUGUAUGAUUUGGAGUUUAUAUGAAGGAAAUAUAGGCACUCAAAGUUAAGGUAUUAAUUUGGGAGCUACUAUCACUCUUUUUGACAUAACUCACUGAUACAGAUGGCAAUUAUAGAUCGGCGACUACGAUUCCAAAGACCACUUUUGCGGCUAUACUUUUUGCAUACUAUUUGCUGGAUUUUAAGUUGGGGUAAAGGAGUUAUAAGAUUUUGAAGUCAGUGCAUGCAAUCUAAGGGUGGUAAGUUAUCCAAUUUACUAGUGGUUGUGUCUUGAGCUAUAUCUUGGGAAUUUGAAAAGGUUUUGGCUCAAAAUUUUAGAAAAUGUGAAAUUUUAUGUAAGUAAACUUUGUACAUAAGUUUGAUGACAUUUGAGUAUUGGAUUCUUAAUAUAUUAAAAAAAUAGUGCUCAGGUGCUUGUAAAUUAGGAUUUAGAGCAUAUGCUAGUGUUUCUUAGAUGCCAAAAGUUUAGGAGUGAAUUUACAAUUAGCUAUUUUUGUUGUAAAAUUGAAGGGUUUUUUCUACCUAUUCUAUAAAUUUGAGACAAGCUAAAUAGCUAGAUCAAGAAUUAUGAAUUUUUAAAGUUCAGAAAGAAAAAACCUUUUGUGGAAAAAAUAUGUUUUGAAGGGAUUCUGUUAUAUUUUGAGUUUUAUGCAAAUCAAAGGAGUUUUGAAGCUAAGACAAGAUUCAUAUAAAGGUUUUAGCUAAACUCUCUACAACUAGAUACCUAAUGUAUUCCCAAAUAUCAAAUCACGCUGUACGACAACGUGUUCUUCAAGCAUGUCAUAACUUUUCAAUAGCAAGAUAUUUUGAAUACAAUAAGACUUUGGAGCUUAUAUCUAGAGAUUUUUGGAAGCCACAAAUGUGAAAAGAUGUGAAAUACUUUGUUCAUUCAUGUGAUAUUUGUUCAAGAUCAAGAACUCCUCCUCAUCAAGCUUAUAGACUUCAUCAACCAUUAUCCAUUCCAAAACAACAAUGAUCUUCAAUUUCUAUAGAUUUCAUCAUGGAUUAUUCAAUCUUAGAUUUUUAUGACUCUAUAUUCGUGAUAGUAGAUUGUUUUACUAAGAUGGCAUAUUUUUUACCAUGUAUAAAAUCUAUUAUAUGUAAAGAAAUAGCUAAGCUAUUUCUUAACAACAUCUAUUGCUAUCAUGGAUUAUCCAAAGAUAUUAUAUUGAAUAAGAAAACUCAAUUUGUAUUAAGAUUUUGGUGGACUCUUUUUAAGUUUCUAAAAGUGGAUAUAAAACUAUCUUCGACAUUCCAUCUUCAAACUGAUAGACAAACGAAGUGUAUUAAUCAAGUUUUAGAGCAGUAUUUAAGAUGUACCAUUAACUACCAACAAGAUGAUUGGACAACUCUUUUGCCAUUGGCAGAGUUUGCUUACAAUAACAGAAUAUAUUCUUCUAUAAAAAAAACAUCUUUCUUUUCCAAUUAUGGUUAUCAUCUAUGACUUGAUACUUUUGACUUUUUAAAAGCUGAUAAUCUUACGGUGAAAGAUUUGGUAAAUCAUUUAUCAAAGCUACAUGCAACAAUAAAAGCGCAGUUAAAAGAAGCUCAAGAACAACAAAAGAUCAAUGUAGAUGUCUAUCAAAAGGAAAAACUACCAUUCUAUGCGGGUGAUAAGGUAUGGUUACUUUGUCACAAUAUCAAGACCACUCGUAUUUGUGAUAAGUUGGACUAUCAAAGACUUGGACCAAUUUCUAUUUCUAUACAAAUCAAUCCAGUUGCAUAUCGUUUACACCUAUCGGAGUCAAUAAAAAUCCAUCUAGUAUUCCACGUGUCUCUUCUUGAAUCAUACAAGACAAUGGACAUAUCAAGAAGAAGACAAGCUCUACCUCCUCCCAUAGAAGUGGACAAUAAUGAAGAGUUUGAAGUGGAAGAAGUCUUAGAUUCAAGGUGACACCGAAAUAAAUUAGAAUAUCUUGUUCAUUGACACGGAUAUGAUAUUAGUGAACGCACAUGGCAGCGAGUAAAGAAUCUUACAAAUGCAGCAAAGGCGAUGGAGGCUUUUCAUCGAUGACAUCCAUCAAAAUCAAGAUGAAAACCUUCUCUAUAAAAGAAAAAAGAUCUAGGCAAGAUAACAUUCUACUUUCAAUCCUUAUUUGUAGCUUCUUUAUAGUUGUGAUGCUUAAGAGAUGGAGAACCAACAACCAGUGGAUUCAACUCAAGAGUCUUGAUUUGUUGACUUGUCGAACGAAACAUUGUGAUUGUGAUAACCUUCAAGAUGAUGCAAUCAAGAUGAAGAUCCUCAAGAAUAACAUAUUUUUCCUCGAAUUGAUGGCAAAAUACAAUGCGUUUGAUAUCACGACCUUAGAAGAGACUCCCAAUGUUUGGUAAUUUCAUUAGAGGUAUGAACAACUCCCAACUGUUUUUUAAAUAUUUUAUUUGAAGAAAGUUAUGAAGGCAUCAACAAUGAUCUGAUAACUGGGUGGUCUUCUCGCCCUGAUAUAGGAUACUAUCAAUGGUUGAGAGGCCCUAUCAACUAUCUUCAAAGAGAAUAAAAAUCUAAAUAUGUAGUAAAUAUAAUUUGUUGCAUCAUACAUUUCCUCAAUAUAUGAUGACCACUCCUUGUGGAACUCGUCCCUAGAAGGAGUGGUAAUGUCAUGGACAUAUACAUGUAAGCGAGUAAUUACAUGUAUAAAUAAAUAGAAGUAAGUAGAAAUAAAUAAAAAUAAAUUAAUUCUAUAAUAUCUUCUACGAAAGCUUUUUAGAAGCUUUCUAAAAAUUGCUUUGACUUUAUAGGUAUCUUUAAUUGACUUUUUGGAUAAGAAAUAUAAUAAACAAGUUGGCCAUGUGCCACACAUGUUGUUGGAUUGAAGACCAAGCUAACUAUGUGGCCCACACAUAAAAAAAGUUGCCUUGUAAGUCAAGAUAUGUGUCCUACUGUUAGGGAUAUAGUCCUUAGAGCCUUCUAGAGACAAGUUUCUAGAACCUUCUAGAAGCAAGUCUCUGGAACCUUCUAGAAGCUUCUUAGUUGGUAGAAGAUAUUAGGGACAUAGUCCUUAGAACCUUCUAGAAGCAAGUCUCUGGAACCUUCUAGAAGCUUCCUAGUUGGUAGAAGUUGCUUGAAAAGCUUCCUAAAUAAGAGUAUAUAUUGGAAUCGAGGCUGAAGAGUUCUUCAGUCUUGACAACACAUCUCUUGGAGCUCUAGCUCACCUCUUUGGUGUUAUUUUUGUAUUCAUUUGAUUAAUCUAGUUCUUGCGUGUUCUUCUUGAACUUCUUAUUAGAUCUCAAGUCUGUAUUUUUGUGUCCGUGACAAUUUAUCGAGACUUCACUCACCUCAAAUAUAAGAGCUAGUUUCUUCCUCGUUAGAGUGCGGAUUACCCCUCUGCUUGGAAGUGUACUAGCAUUUUAGAGGUUGCGGAUUACCCUCCUCUAAACUGAUACUUCUUUUGUUAUAAUAUUGGAGUCUUAUUCUUCUUGGAGAGAGUGGAUUACCCCUUUUCUUGAAGUUCUUAAGGCAUUUUAGAGGUUGCGGAGUACCCUCCUCUAAACCAAUAUUGUCUUCUUGUAGAGUCAUUUCUGUCCUUCUCUUAGAAUGGCCGGAGGCCAAGACAUUAGUAUGAUGGAAAGUUCGGAGUCCAAGUUGGAUGCUAUCAUGAAUGCCCUCGCUACGUUAUCGCAAAGAACUGUAGAGAUUGAAGGAGUUGUGGUAAGGCUUCAUAAUGAUAGAGCAUGUGGGAUGGCACAAUCUAGGUUACAUCAGCCUCAUACUUCUACACUUGGAGAAACAACUUUGCCUCACGUUUGACAAGCACCACUGGUUCUACAACAUAAUGAGUCGCGAGUUAGCCUUUCGGACAAGUUUGAUGGUAUGCAUUCCAAGUUUCGAGGAUUCGUCAUUCAAAUCAAGUUGAUAACAAUUUUACAGCCAGAACGCUAUCCAACAGAGGAGUCACGUGUUGGGCUUGUUGGAACCUUACUUACAGGGCAAGCUCUAUCAUAAUUUGCUCCUUUGUUUGAGAAACGAUCGUCCAUACUAAACAACUUUGAAAUCUUUUUGGAGGCGUUUACGGAAGCAUUUGGUAAACAUGACAAGGUUCGAUGGGCUACAACAAAGAUCCGAUCACUAUGACAAGGGAUGUGCUCUACAUCAGUCUAUGCAUCGGACUUCACGCAAUUAGCAUACGACAUCAAUUGGAAUGAAGAAGCGUUGAUGAGUCAAUUCUAUUGGGAUUUAAAAGACAAUGUGAAGGAUUUGCUGUUAACUCUUCUUGAUCUGCAAACGCUCAACGAAGCUAUUAGUCAAGCUGUAAAGUACAAUAAUCGCCUAUUCCAACGCCGCCAAGACCAAUGUUCAAGGCAACAUACGGUUCACCACGUCCCAAUUAUGUGGGCAAGCAGCAUGAAUUCAUAUUCAGAAGUAGAAGACAUGCAAAUUGAUGUAGCUAGUGUCAAAUCCCUUACUCUAGAAGAAAAAAAGCGGUGCAUGGAGGAAGGUCUAUGCUUGUAUUGCGGUGAAGAAGGCCACAAAGUUAGAAACUAUUUUAAGAAGCAAAAUCCACGUAUUGUCAGGACUAAGGGCACAUUUGUUCAAGAAAACGAAGAUGCCCAGCCACAAUAGGAACCGUGCGACUGGACAAUGAAAUAUCGCAACAACAACUAGGUUCUUUUCUUUCCGCUCAACGUGCCCUUUGCUUUACAAUCCUUUUGCUUAUUAGUCCUCAAAAACUGAGAACCUUAGCAUUAUUAGAUUCAGGAGCAUCUGCUUGUUUCUUAGACGAAGAAUUUGCGAAGCGUCAUAAGAUCCUUUUAGUACAAAAAUCCAAACUUGUUCACGUCGAGGUCAUAGAUGGACGACUUUUAUUGUCUGGUAGUGUCAUCUAUGAAUUAGAAUAAAGAAAUCUUUAUUCAUUGGAGCAAGAGCGUUUAUAAGAUCAUCUAAGGAAGGUACACUAUUUGUCAUUUAUGUGGCUCCAACUAUCGGGGAGAAGAUCUCGACAGCAAGUAUACCUGAGCAAUAUAAGGAUUUUAAAGACGUGUUUUAAAAGAAGAAUGCCGACAUGCUACCGAAACACCAACCAUAUGAUUGCGCCAUAGAUUUAUAGGAAGAAGCACAACCACUUUUUGGCCCAAUCUACAAUCUAUCGCACAUGGAGUUGGCAGAAUUGCGAAAGUACAUCGAUGAGAAUCUAGCCAAGAACUUCAUCCGUCAUUCAAAAUCGUCAGCUGGAGUACCCAUCUUAUUUGUGAAGAAGAAAGAUGGUUCGUUGCGGAUGUGCAUGGACUAUCGAGGCCUCAACAAGGUAACAAAGAAGAAUCAUUGUCCGUUACCCUUGAUUUCUGGUCUCUUAGAACAUCUUGGACAUGCAAGGAUCUUUACAAAAAUUGAUCUAAGAGGAGCUUACAACCUCGUAAAAAUCAACGAAAGAGAUGAAGGGAAGACAGCGUUUCGUAUAAGGUAUGGCCAUUUUGAGUAUAAUGUCAUGCCCUUUGGUCUUACCAAUGCUCCAGCGGUCUUUCAACAUAUGAUGAAUGACAUUUUCCGACAGCACCUUGACAAUUUUGUUGUCAUUUAUUUGGAUGAUAUUUUGAUAUUCUCCAAUAACGAGGAAGAGCAUGAAAAGCACGUUCGUUUGGUCUUAGAGAAACUACGCAAGCAAGGACUAUAUGCCAAGUUGGAGAAGUAUUUAUUUCACCAAAUAGAGAUGGAGUUUCUGGGAUUCGUUGCGACUACGAAAGGCUUGAAGAUGGACCCCAAGAAGGUGGAAGCAAUUGUAUCUAGGGAGGUUCUGAAGAUGAUUAGAGACGUACAAUGCUUUCUUGAUUUUGCCAACUUCUAUCGGAACUUCAUCAAGAAUUACUCUCAAGUUGCUGCUCCUCUCACUCGGUUGACAUGCAAGGAUAAGCUGGAAUGGGAACCUCUAGCAGAGAAGGCAUUUCAAGACCUGAAGAUCGCAUUUAUUAUGGCUCCAAUCUUGGUACAUCCAGACUUUAUAAAGGCCUUUUAUUUGAAAAUUGAUGCUUCGGAUUUAGCUUUGGGAGCUGUACUUUCACAAAUGGGAGAAGACAAGAAGCUCCAUCCAAUUGCAUUCUAUUCUCGAAAGUUCUCUGCUGCUGAAAUCAAUUAUGAGAUCCACAAUAAGGAACUUUUUGCUAUAGUGGAUUCUUUCCAAGAAUGGCGUCACUUUCUUGAAGGAGCUGUACACCUAGUGAUCAUAUACACAGAUCACAAGAAUUUGGAGUAUUUCAUGUCGACUUCAGUUUUAAAUCGACGUCAAGCUCAGUGGAGUAUGUUACUAUCUAGGUUCGAUUUUGUUAUCACUUAUCGACUUGGAAAGUAGUAAGGACUAUCUAAUGCCUUAUCGAAGAGAUCGUAUCUUGUAUCAAAGGCUGAAGAAGCAAAGUUUGAUCAACAAUAUAUGACAUUGUUGAAGCCAGAGCAAUUUUGGCUUUGUGCUACUAUUGUGUCAAUUGAUGCUGGCUUCCUAAAUCAAGUACAUGUCGUGACUAUUGAAGAUUCAAUAGCCAUUGAUAUUAAGCAGUGUGCCAAUGAUGACAAGUUCAAGGUGGAGGAAGAUCUUUUAUACUUUGAGGAGCGGUUGUAUAUCCCAAAAAGACCAGCACAACUCCGAGUUCUUCAAUCUCACCAUGAUUUUUCAACUGUGGGAUAUUUUGGAUUCAAUAAGAUAUUAGAGCUUAUUUCUCGAGAUUUUUGGUGGCCCCAAAUGUAGAAGGAUGUGAAAGAUUUUGUCCUCUCCUACGACAUCUGUUCAAAAUCCAAGAAUCCUCGAUAUCGCCUUUAUGGACUCCUACAACCAUUGUCGAUUUUACGUCGACCAUGGUCUUCUAUUUCCAUGGACUUCAUCACGGACCUGCCUUCAUCGAACUCAUUUGACAGCAUCGUUGUCGUGGUAGAUCGGCUUACAAAGAUGGCACACUUUAUCCCUUGUAAGAAGACAUCAUCCAGUGAAGUCACAACAAGGUUCUUUCUCGAUAAUGUGUAUCGAUAUCAUGGACUAUUAGAUGAUAUCAUAUCAGAUCGAGGAACCCAAUUCGUAUCAAAGUUUUGGAGAUCUCUCUUUGAGAUACUAAAGGUGGAUAUCAAGCUUUCUUUGACUUUUCAUCCUCAAACUGAUGGCCAAACGGAACGGGUGAACUAAGUCUUAGAACAAUACUUAUGAUGCAGCAUCAACUAUCAAUAAGAUGAUUGGACCACAUAUCUGCUGCUAGCCGAGUUUGCAUAUAACAACACCUUCCAUGCGUCAACUCAAUAUACACCAUUCUUUUCCAACUAUGGGUAUCAUUCGAAGCUUGAUUUAUUGAGUCUAUCAAUAAAUAACAAUCCAGCAACUGAAGGAUUUGUGAAUCAACUAUCAGAGCUUCAAAAUAUGUUGAAGCUUCAAUUUCAAUCCGCUCAAGAAUCCUACAAGGCAUCUGCAGAUAGAUUUCAAAAUCAAGCACCUACUUUUAAAAUUGGAGAUAAAGCAUGGCUUCUUUGACAAAAUAUCAAGACCAAGCGACCAUGUGAUAAGUUGGACUAUCAAAGAUUGGGACCAUUUAUCAUCCAGAAGCAAAUCAAUCCAAUGGCAUACCGUUUAGAAUUACCGGCUUCUAUGAAGGUACAUCCAAUCUUUCAUGUUUCUCUGUUAGAGCCUUAUCAAGAGUCGUCUUUUUUUGGAAGAGUGCAAUGUCUGCCACCUCGUAUUGAGAUCGAGAACCACAAGGAAUAUGAGGUUGAAAAGGUGCUGGAUUCACGACAAAGGUGGGACAAGUUAGAGUAUCUUGUUCAUUGGUGCGGCUACGACAUUAAUGAGCAAACGUGAGAGCCAGCUGAAAAUCUUGCCAAUGCACUGCAAAAGGUACAUGAGUUUUAUCAACAACAUCCUCAUAAACCUAAGCCGGUUCGACGAUAGCUUCUUUCUAAAACUUGCUCACCGAAGAAUAUAAGAAAGAAAAAGAGCACCACCAAAAUUCACAGUUGAUGUAGUUAUUUUCUCUAAGAUAAAGUAGAAUUUUUUCAGUAGCCAUAGUUUGGUCUUCUGAUAUGGAUAGCCAAGAGAUAGAUACUAUGCCAGUCAGAUUAUCUCAACCGACUAGCUCACGAAGGCGACCCCGAGAUGAAGAACCGCCUAUACCACGAUGACGACGGAGGAUAUCGAGUAACUGAUCACUGGUGAUUGUAUUUGAGUUCAAGGCUACUUACAAUGGUUAGCCAGAAGGCAUAUUUAUAGGACAAUUUCACAAUGAGGACACGGAAGUUCAUACUUGGUCUAAAGUUGAAGAAGUGGGCCACUACCGUUGGCUUCAAGGACCGAUGAACCACUAGCCUCGUGAACAACAGUUGGAAUUCAUAGCAGACGUUAUGCGACAAAUCUUCAUUUUCUUGCAUUGGUACUGAUUAACAAUAAUAUUGCUUCUCACAGACCUCGAAGUUAAAAGAAGAGGUGAUGUUAGAGACAUAGUCCUUAGAAACUUCUAGAGAUAAGUUUCUAGAACCUUCUAGAAGCAAGUCUCUGGAACCUUCUAGAAGCUUCUUAGUUGAUAGAAGAUGUUAGGGACUUAGUCCUUAGAACCUUCUAGAAGUAAGUCUCUGGAACCUUCUAGAAGCUUCUUAGUUGAUAGAAGAUAUUAGGGACAUAGUCCUUAGAACCUUUUAGAGACAAGUUUCUAGAACCUUCUAGAAACAAGUCUCUGGAACCUUCUAGAAGCUUCGUAGUUAGUAGAAGUUAUUUGAGAAGCUUCCUAAAUAGGAGUUUAUAUUGGAAUCGAGGUUGAAGAGUUCUUCAGUCUCGACAACACAUCUCUUGGAGCUCUAGCUCACCUCUCUAGUGUUGUUCUUGUAUUCAUCUGAUUAAUCUAGUUCUUGCCACUUCUUCUUGAACUUCUUGUUAGAUCUCGAGUCUGUAUUUCUGUGUCCGUGACACCUACAAAGUCAACAUAUAUUAGAGGUUCUAUAAAAUAUCGCCAUGUAGUCCCUAGUUAGAUAUUAUAUAUAGAGAGAAGAGUGAAGCCUCCUUCACUCUUAUAAACUCUUUUUUUGCUUCUAGUCCAGUUUCAAGAGUUCUAAGUUUCCUUGUCUUUGGGCAAUAGGUGUCACAGACAUAUGCAUCUAAGCCAAUAAUUACAUAUAUAAAUAGGUAGAAAUAAGUAAAAGUAGAUAAAAGUAAAUUAAAUCUAUAGUAUUUGAUAUGGAAGCUUCUUAGAAGCUUUAUAGAUACUACUUUGACUUUAUAGGUAUCUUUAAUUAACUUUUAGGAAUGAAAAACGUAGUGAACAAGUUGGCCAUAUGCCACACAUAUUAUUAGCUUGAAGACCAAACUAAUUAUGUGGCCCAUACGUAAAAAAACUUGCCUUGUAAGUCAAGGCAUGUGUCCUAUAAAGUCAACCUAUAUUGGAGGUUCUAUAGAAUGUCGCCACGUAGCCCUUAUUAAGAUAGUAUAUAUAGAGAUAAGAGUGAAGCCUUCUUCACUCUUGUCAACUUCUUUCUUACUUUAAAUCUAGUUUCAAGGAUCCCUAGUAUUUUUGGCUUUUGGCAAUAGCCAUUCCAAUUUCUUUCUUAAUACACAUAUGAAGUUAUUUCUAUUUUGUUAUCUUUCGUUGAAAAAAGUCUCACUUGUUUAUUUAUCUUUAUCAUAUUCUUGUCCUUGACAGAUUGAUAAGAGUAUACUUACAAUAUCAAAGCUUUGUCUAAUCUUAAUUAAGAAAAGAUUACCCCUUUUUCUUAAUAAGACACAAGUAUAUUAGAACUUACGGAUUACCCUCUUCUAAACUGAUAUUGUCGUUAGUAUUUUCUUUAUUCUCAAGUCUUCUCUUCUAUUUGUCUUGAGUGAUAUUAGACAUCUUCUCUUUUCUAAGUGUUAUCAUGGCAGAACUUGCUGAAAUGAAGAGUGCAAUGGCACAAAUACAAGAGCAAUUGAGGGAAUUAAUGUUUGCGAUGCAUCAACUCAAUUUACCACCAUAAGAAGCAAUAAGAUUAACAGGAAGUGAAGAUAUAGAAAUGAUUGGAGCUACUUCAAGAUCUGCACCAAAUUAUGUCCCUUCUCCUAUGGUGGAACGUCCUUCUAGUGUUAGAGAACCAAGAAUUAUCCUACCCGAGAAGUUUGAUGGUACCAGAUCUAAGUUUCAAAGAUUUAUCAAUCAAGUGUAACUUGUGAUUGAACUUCAAUCUCAAAGCUAUCCAACUCCAAGAUCACAAGUUAGAUUGAUUAGUAUGCUUCUUUCAAAUUCAAUGCUAUCAUGGUUUUCAUCUUUUUUUGAACGAGAAGAUCUAAUAUUGGAUAAUCUAGAGAUUUUUCUGGUAGAGUUUUCAUCCAUGUAUGGAGAAAAUGAUGAAAUUCAUGUUGCAACCAAUAAGAUCUAUAUUUUACGACAAAAUAAUCGAUUAGUAACGUUGUAUGCUUCACAAUUUCAUCAACUUGUAAAUGAUAUCAAGUGGGAUGAUGCCGCACUUAUUAGCCAAUUUCUCUACAGAUUAUAAUAUGAAGUAAAAAAAUUAAUGCUCAACUCACCUGAUCCUCAAACAUUGAGUCAAGCAAUUCACUUUGCUAUCAAGUGCAACAAUCGCUUUUUUGAAUUUCAAUCUGAGAACCGUACAAGUAGACCUCAACAUAACUAUAAUUCAAUAGCAAUACCAAUAUCUCUUUAAUACAUACAUUUGGAAGUAGAGGAUAUGUAAAUUGAUGCGGUACGUUUCAAACCUCUUACUAAGCAAGAAAAGUCUCGUUGUCGUCAGGAAGGAUAGUGCUUAUAUUGUUAAGAACCUAAGCACACUGCUCAACAAUGCUCAAAGAAGCGAUGUAACCAUAAAAUGAGGAGUAUGGCGAUCAAAAGAGAUAGCAUGUUGGAAAACGAGUUUAUCUAGCUACAAUAGGGACCGUGCGACUAGAACCUUAUACAACACCUAGUCAAGGUCCUAUCUUCUCUUCAGAAUCCUCUCCAUGUUUUAUAAUAAAUAUUAUUCUAGGACCUAAACAUCUCGAAGCCUCUACCUUGCUAGAUUCAAGAGCCUCAGCAUGUUUCUUAGAUGAAAAAUUUACUAAAAGAUAUAGCAUAUUUUUUAAAAAGAAAACUAAAUCUUUUCAUAUAAAAAUCAUAGAUGGUGGUGCGUUAACUUUAGGAGAUGUUACUCAUGAAAUCCUUCCUAUAGAAAUAGCAACUAAUGGUCAUAGUAGCUUUGUAAUAUUUAAUAUCAUUAGAUUUCUUUCUAAUCCAAUCAUUUGAGGUUUAUCAUGGCUAGAAAAAUAUAAUCCUAAAAUAGAUUGGACUUCUCAUAGUCUUAACUUUUCUGAAAGUAUAACUAAGAGUGUAGUUAAUCAAGUAAAAAGUCAUAAGUCUAGUAUAAUUAAACCUAAAUUUGUAGGUACAAGUGCUUUCUUGCAUGCUUCAAAAGAAGGAUCAUCUUGUGUCAUUUAUGCCAUACCUGUUUCUAUUCGUGGAAAGACUUCAAGUAGCAUUCCAAGCCAAUAUCAAGAUUUUCAAAAUGUAUUUGAAAAAAAGAAUGCAGAUACUCUUCCAAAAUAUCGUUCCUAUGACUGCUUAAUUGAUCUUCAAGAAGGAGCACAACUACCAUUUGGACCAAUUUCCAAUUUAUCUCAAAAUGAGUUGGCUGUACUCAAAGAGUAUAUUGAAGAGAAUUUGGCCAAGAACUUCAUAUGCCAUUCCAAAUGUCUAGCAGAAGCUCCAGUUUUAUUUGUAAAGAAAAAAGAUCGAUCAUUGAGGAUGUGUGUUGAUUAUCAAGGACUCAACAAAACAACUAUCAAAAAUAGGUACCCGCUAUCUUUGAUAUCUGGACUUCUUGAUCAGUUGAAUCAAGCUAGAAUCUAUACAAAAAUAGAUCUACAGAGAGCAUACAAUUUGGUACGCAUCAAAGAAAGAGAUGAAUGAAACACUACAUUUCAAAUAAAUUAUGAAUAUUUUGAAUACAACGUUGUAGAAUAGAUAUUAAUUUAUUUUUGAAAUAUAUUGGUAAAAUAUAUUAAUAGUCCAUAUAAUAGGAAAUUCAGGAGGACGGAUGAGUGAUUUAAUUAUUUAAAGAAGUUAAUUACAGAAUUACGAUUAGAAUCUGGAUAAUUAGGGGAAAGUAUAUAGGAGUUGUAGAAGUUAAUUAAGGUGCCAUCAUUGUGAUAGUUAUGAGCCGGGGUAAGUUUGGUGCUACUUCUUUUCUUUUGUUUGUUAUUUUCUUUGAAUAAGAGGAUUGAAAGUUUCAAAAUAUUGUGAAGUGAAUUAUGGAAUGGAAAUAUGAUUGGUAUUAUUUGAAAAGAAGAAAGAUUGAAUGCUGAAAUCUAAUUGUAGUUCAGCAGAGAGAAUGAGUCUGUGUUUGUGUGAAACACCGUAAUGUGAAUAGCAGUUCUGUGUGAAGAAUUCCAGUGAUUAGAAUGAAGGUAAUUGUAUGCUGAAAGCUGUGAGGGCACAGCAUUACAGUUGGAGAUUAUGAGGGUAAAUAUAUUGGUAGAAAUAGCAGUUAUUGGUAUGAUUGAAUUGUUGUAAGGAAGAGAUCGAUAAGGUGAAGGAGGAGAUUAUAGUUUCCUUGUGUGUUCAGAUAUUAGAAAUAGAGACAAUACAUUCAGGAGGUAAUUGAUUGUGUGAUCCUAAUGUGAAAGCUUAAGAAACUAGUCAUUCUCCAUGUUCGAAUCCCCUAUACAGGUUUAUUUCCAUUAGAUUAAUUUGAAAUAAGUAAAACGAGCAAUCACAUUUUGGUGCUCGUGUCGAGGAGUGAUAAUAGCUGUGAGUAUUAGGAAUUAAUUACCAAACAUGUGAAAAAAUUGGCAAUAGAAGACGAUUUCAGUAGUGUUUGAAGUAAGAGUAUAGUUAUUAAGAAUGAGAAUUUAACAGCAAAGAAAAUAAAGCAAUCAAAAAAAAGAAUAGAGAGAUCGCAAGUAAGAAAUUUGUUGCGUAAUGAGCGAGAUCGCAAAUUAAAAAAGAAGCAUCGAAAAAGUUGGAUUAAGCCAUGGUUGCAUGUUUGUCGGCAUAUUCGAUGGUAUCCAGAAGAUAAUCGACCUCUAAUAUUUCAGAAGUACAUAUCGUUAAAAAAAUUGCCAAGAGCACUCGUGGGGAGCAUUGUUAAUAGUCCAGCAUACCUCUCGAAGCCAUUAACGAAAAGCAAGGAAGGCACAGAGGAAAUAGGUAUUCCAUUGGGUAUUUUUUCAAUUGGAGAUACGUCCAAUUCUAACAAGACUGCUUCUGAAGAUUAGCAUAAAUCACUUGCCAAUAAAGACCAAUUCAGAGUAUAUUUAAACUUAUCAUUUUCACCUCAUAUUCAACCAGUAAAAUUAUUUAGAGAUAAUAAUAGUCAAUCGAGAAGGCCUGGAAGUCUGAAAAAGACUUUUGCAAGAGAUAAUUUUUAUUUUAAUAAGGAAUUGAACAAAACACCAACAUCUUUAAUGGGAUCUAGAGGACCAGCAGUUCUAAUUGCAGUUCAAAUGAAUGCAGUAGGCGUUCGUAUGUCUAGUGUUGUGUCACUACCUACUUUUCAAGGAUUUCUGGGUACAGAUCCUGAUAAACAUUUAUCUCGGUUUCUUAUAGUAUGUGUAGCUAAUAAUGGCAAAAUUGAAGAUAUUUGGUUGCGAUGGCUGCCAGUGACAUUGAAAGACAUAGUAUUUGAGUGGUAUAACUGCUAACCUGUGGGUCAAUUUCUGAAUUGGGAAGCAUUGAAGAAUGCAUUUUUAUCUCAUUUUUGGCUAAUUGAUUUUAAGGACUGCCUUCCAGAGAAGUUAAUAAACAGCAAAAUGAUCCUAGAGGAGGCGGUGGAAUUGUACUAUGGCCGAAUGGCUGAUAUACUCAGUAAGUGGUCAAAUCACCAAAUACAGGAGGUAUUUAUCUUAUCCAUAUUAAUCAAUGGUUUGCACCUACCAGAGCUAAAAAUGUUUGUAAAGGAAGCUCAAAUCAUUACGGUGGUUGUGUCCCUUAAUAGAGCCAAGGUUUGAGUAGAAUGCCAUUAUGAUCAGUUUUUAACCGCGGGAGCUACGAUGAUUCUAGUUCAAGGUAGAUAUUAAAAUCCGACUUAGAACAAAUGAGUGGGUAGUUAUCCACGGAUGUUAGAAACAUGAGCCCAUUCCAAUACCAAUAUUCAAGGGCCAGUUAAUGUCACCACAUUACAAGCUAUACCAUCGAAUGUGACAACAACAUAUGCUCCAUAUUAUCCAUAUCAACAACAAGCAUUAACUACGGCAGAGAUACCAAUAAUGUCAGCGUUAAAAGAUUCCAAUGAAACCUUGUUAUUGAAUUUGAUGAAGAAAAUGGAAGAAAUGGCCAUCAAUAUGGCCAAAGAUAAGGAGAAUAGGCAAAAGCCUACCAAUACUAGGACCAAUGUAUGGUGCAGUAAUUGUGAGGGCCAUGAUCAUUCUAUAACACAAUAUCCAUCAUCCUCACAAAUAAUGGAUCACUGUACAUUUUGUAGAGGAAAGCACCUAAUAGCAAAUUGUUGGAAUUGGCAAAGACAACAACAAUAAUUUAGUAAUCAGACCAUGAUCCCACCAACCCAAUGAGACGUCAAUCAAGUACAAACAAAAAAUACGUUUGGAUGGAAUAGAAAUCGAUUUAAUCGAUAAAAUUGAGCAUUCAAUAACUUUCAAAGUUCCAAUUUUAAUCAGGAGUUUGCAUCGAACCCUCAAAACUACGGUAAGGAGCAACAGAGGUAUCAGCAAUAUGCUCCACCGACGUCAUUAAACCAAGUUCUCUCAGUACCAACGGGACAACCAGGAUCAUUUUUUAAUCCUACAUGAAACAAGCCUAGUAGGUAUAUACCAGUGGAGGCACCCAAUAUGCCUGAUGGGAGUGCAAGAAGACCACUUUGUUGUUUCCAUUGCAGAUAGAUUGGUCAUUAUGCCAAUGAAUGUCUCAAUUCCAGAGCCAGUGAUGAUUAUGCACCAGUUUGUAGAAAUUGCAAGCAGUAGAAGCAUAUGUAUCAGCAAUGUAAUGCUCUAUUCAAUUUCAAUAAUCAGGAUCAGCAAAUCCAAAGCCUAGGAAAUAUUGAGGAGAUAAAUUGAGGUCCUCAAGAUUCUCCAGUAAAUUGGAUGGAAUGUGUCCAAACCGUUCUUACCCAGAGUCAGCAAAAGAGAAAAGGACCAAUUCAAUAUUUGGAUAAUUGUAGAAUAGAUAUUAAUUCGUUUUUGAAAGACAUUGAUAAAAUAUAUUAAUAGUCUAUAUAAUAAGAAAUUCAGGAGAACAGAUGAGUGAUUUAGUUCUUAAAAGUGGUUAAUUACAGAAUUAUAGUUAGAAUGUGGAGAAUCAGGAGAAAGUAUAUAGGAGUUGUAGAAGUUAAUUAAGGUGCCAUCACUGUGAUAGUUGUGAGCCGGGGUAAGCUUGGUGCUACCUCUUUUCUUUUAUUUGUUAUUUUCUUUGAAUAAGAGGAUUGAAAGUUUUUGAAUAUUGUGAAGUGAAUUAUGGAAUGGAAAUAUGAUUGGUAUUAUUUGAAAAGAAGAAAGAUUCAAUGCUGAAAUCUGAUUGUAGUUCAGCAGAGAGAAUGAGUCUGUAUUUAUGUGAAACACCGUAAUGUGAAUGGCAGUUUUGUGUGAAGAAUUCCAGUGAUUGGAAUAAGGGUAAUUAUGUGCUGAAAGCUGUGAGGGCCCAGUAUUACAAUUGGAGAUUAUGAGGGUGAAUAUAUUGGUGGAAAUAGCAGUUAUUGAUUUUACUGAAUUGCUGUAAAGAAGAGAUCGAUAAGAUGAAGGAGGAGAUUAUAGUUUCCUUGUGUGUUCAGAUAUUAGAAAUAGAGACAAUACAUUCAGGAGGUAAUUGAUUGUGUGACCCUAAAGUGAACGCUUAAGCAACUAGUCAUUUUUCAUGUUCAAAUCUCCCUAUAUGGGUUUAUUCUGGGAGAUUUCUUCCAAAAUAAGUAAAAUAAAAACCACAUUUUGGCACCGCUAUCGGAGAUUGAUAACAUAAUUGAGUGUUAGGAAUUAACUGUUGAAGCAGUAAAGGAGAUUAAGAAGCAAAUUCAGUAGAAAUAAUGAAAGAGUAUGGUUAUUAAGAAAAUGAGAAUUUAACAGCAAAGAGAAUAAAGCAAUCAAAGGAAAGAAUAGAGCAAUCGCAAGCAAGAAAUUUAUUGCGUAAUGAGUGAGAUUACAAAUUAAAAAAAAAACAUCGAUAAAGUUGGAUUAAGCUGUGGUUGCAUGCUUGUCAACAUAUUUGAUCGUACCCAGAAGAUGAUCGACCUCUAAUAUUUUAGAAGUAUAUACCAUUAAAGAAAUUACUAAGAGCACUCACGAGGAGCGCUGCUAAUAGUCCAGCAUACCUCUCGAAGCCGUUAAUGAAAAGCAAGGAAGGCACAGAGGAAAUAGGUACCCCAUUGGAUAUUUUUUCAAUUGAAGAUACGUCCAAUUUUAACAAGACUGGUUCUGAAGAUUGGCAUAAAUUACUUGCCAAUAAAGACCAAUUCAAAGUAUAUCAAAACCUAUCAUUUUCACCUCAUAUUCAACCAGUAAAAAUAUCUGGGGAUAAUAAUAGUGAAUCGGGAAGGCUUGGAAGUCCGAAAAAGACUUUUGUGGGAGACAGUUUUUGUUUUAAUAAGGAAUUGAGCUGAACACCGGCAUCUUUAAUGACGUUCGGAGGACCAACAGUUUUGAUUGUAGUUCAAAUGGGUGUAGUAGGUGAUCAAUUGACUAGCGUCGCGCCAUUACCUACUUUUUCGAGUUUACCUAGUCCGGAUCCAGAUCAAUAUUUUUCUCAAUUCUUGACGACAUUUGUAUCCAAUAAUAGAAGAACAAAAGACAUUUGGCUGAGAUAGCUGCCAGUAACAUUGAAAGACACAGUGUUUGAAUAGUACAACUGCCAACCUGUGAGACAAUUUAUCAAUUGGGAGGCAUUGAAAAAUAUAUUUUUAGCCCAUUUUUGACCAAUUGGUUUUGAAGAACGUCUUAGAGAAAAAUUAAUGACUAGCAGAAUGGUACCAAGGGAAGCAGUACAAUCAUAUUAUGGUCGUGUAGCAAAUAUACUUCAAAAAUGGCCAAAUAACCAAAUACUGGAAUCGUUUGUGUUGUCUAUAUUGGUUAAUAGACUACACCCACCAGAAUUGAAGAUGUUUGUAAAGGAGGCCCAAUCAGCCACCAUUGCAUCAUCUCUUGAGCGAGCGAAAGUAUGGGAGGAAUGUCACUAUGACCAGAACUUAAUAGUUGGAGCCAAGAUGAUUCCAUCUCAAAGAGGUUAUCAAAUGACAACUUGGAAUGACGCAUCAAGAAGUUAUCUGGGAAAGAAUGAAUAUGGUACAAUUCCACAGGGAAUAGUAGAAGUCGUUCCAUUGCAAGUUGUACCACCAUCAUCAUCACAUUCGUAUGCGUCUUAUUUCGCAUAUGAGAACCCAAUACCUACAAAAGAAUUGUCAAAUGCAUUAGUAUCAAGAGAUCCCAAUGAGUCAUUGCUGUUAAUAUUGACAAAAAAAAUGAAUGAAUUGGUUGUGAAUCUGGCCAAAGAUAAAGAAAAAAAGCAUAAAUCAACUAAUAUGCGUCCCAAUGUCUGGUGCAGUAAUUGUAAGGGGCAAGGUCAUUUAGUAACAGAAUGUCCUUCACCACCCAAUUGACUGUACAAUGUACCUUUUGCUGGGGCAAGCAUAUUACCACCAACUGUUGGAAUUUACGGAAGCAACAAAACCUGAAUAACCAGAUAAUGACUCAACCAACUUCAUGGGAUGUCAAUCAAGUACAAACGAAUAAUAGGUUUGGUUGGAAUGGAAAUCGAGUGAAUAAACAAAACAAGAAUUAUUCUAGUUUCCUAAACUCUGAAUUUCACCAAAAAGGUGUAUCCAAUACUCACAGAUUGGCGAUGAACCAAGCAAGAUAUCAUCAAUAUCCAUCCAUGACGAAGCCAAUGCCAGAAUCUAUAGUAACAAUAGGUCAACCAAGAUCCUUUACUCAUCUAACAUAGAACAGACCUAGCCGUUAUAUACCAGUAGAGACACCCAUUAUCCCUGAAGGAGUUGGCACGAGACCACUUGAUUGCUAUUGUUGCAGACAAAUUGGACAUUAUGCAAAUGAAUGUCCUAAAUCCAAGGGCCAGUGAUGACUAUGCUCGAAUAUGUGGAAAUUGUAAGCAGUUUGGUCACACUUAUCAAUAGUGUAAUGCAUCCCUUAUUUAUAAUAACCAGGAUCAGCAAAUACAAACAAGCCAAUCGGUGGAGGACAAAGGCCUUCUUCAACGAGACUCACCAGUACAUCGUGUCGAGAUGGUGAAUGCAGUGCUUACCAGAGGCCAACAAAAAGAUAAGAAUCUAAUUCAGGACCUGGAUGAACCAAUUAAAUGAGAGCAAGUAGCACCAUCCAUGAAGCUAAACGAACCCAUAUCAGUAUUGGAACGUAUCCCAAUAAUGAGACCUCAACAGACUAAGAAAUUCAAUUCGGUUCCACGUGCCAAUUUGUCGAGACCAUCAAGAUCGAUCCCAACUGACCAAGUACUAAUACUUAUACAAUCCAAUAAAAGAUCUUACACAUUAAAGGAACCUUUAGUGAUAGAAAAGUUGAUGAAGUUAUUAGCGGUAAUUUCAAUCUCCAAGAAGAAAUUGCUACCAAAUGGAAUAAAAUCGAAACCAAUGAAAUGCAAAAGAGCAUUGAGAAUUACUCUCAAUAUGGAAUUCUACAACAUUUUGAAGGAUUUGGAUGUUAUUCAGCCUUCAAUUACAAUGAAGCAACUUUUGGCUGAAGCACCGGAAUGUCGAUCUACAUUGAAUUCAGCGUUAAUACGACGAAGAUCUCACACUAAAAAAAUUCAUGAAAUUAGCUUAAAUCCAGAUCUGGGAGCACCAACAAUCGAUGUAUCAAUUGAUGGCAUUUUAAUUCCAGAGGUACAAGUUGAUGGUGGCUCCAAUGUGAAUUUAAUGAAAGCAGAUACAAUAGAGAACUUGGAUCUAAAGCAAUUGCUACCUAUGACAUUGGUCUUGCAAAUGGCAGAUCAUAGUCGAGUAAAGCCAAUGGAAAUCUUAUGCAAUAUUGCCACUGUAAUCAUGGGAUUGACAUAUAAAAUUGACUAUAUUAUAUUUCGAUUACAGAAUUCUACAUUAUCGUAUCCCAUUUUAUUGAGCAAACCUUGGUUUUAUCAAGCCAAAGCUAAGAACGAUUGGAGCCGAGGUACAUUGACAAUUGGAAAAGGCCAUGACCAAAUUGUUCUACAGAUGUACCCGGUACAAUAUCAUGGAGAAUCUCAAUUGCUAGAAUCAAAAUUUACAUCGGAUAACGAGAGUCAAUUGAUUGAGGUAGAUGACAAUGCUAUAGAUUCAGUGCAAUUUUGAGUAGGACAAAACACUUCAACAGUAAAGGCAGGAGUCUACCAAUGUGAAAGUCUUAGCAAAUAUUUACUACAUUAGGAGGAUGCGACUAACUUAGAUCAUGCUAUUGUCGAAUGGAUGAAUAAUUCUGCAGUCAAUAGAGUCAGUACAUUGGAACCAGAUUUGAGUGGUUCCCAUAUGUCAGAUAAUACAAGAUAUUUAGAUCAGGAGAAGACAAUUAAAUCAGAGGUUGUUGAAGAUUCUGUGUGUCAAUCUAUAAACCUGGGCACCAACGAAACGCCACAGCUAAUUAAAAUAUAUGUCGGUAUUAUCGGUACAGAAUUGGAUGCUUGAAAAUAGUUUUUUGUCCGUCACAAAUCUGCCUUUGCAUGGUCGUAUGUGGAUUUGAAAGGGAUUCCAGCCAACGUGUGUGAGCACCAGAUUAUUCUGGAGGAGGGUGUUAUAUCAGUUCAUCAAAGACAACAUCAACUUAAUCCAAAAUAUUCUCUUUUAGUGAAAGAGAAAUUAGAUAAACUUCUUGACGUGGGUUUUAUUUAUCCUGUUCUGUAUAGUACAUGGAUGUCGUCAAUCAUGAUGGUACCAAAGAAGAGUAGAGAAAUCAAGAUAUAUCAGGAUUUCAAGAAACUUAAUUUGGCCACCAAGAAAGUUUACUUUCCUUUACCUUUCACAGACAGUAUGAGUAACAUAUUGUCAUUAUCACCAAGUAGUAAAAGAAUAAGAGUGGGGCACCAGUUAAAGUCAUUUUGUGGUAUUAUUUUGGGUUGGUUGGAGUGCCAUUCUUUUGUAUUUCUUGUGUUUUUGAGAGUAGUAGUUCUAGUUAAGAGUUAACAGUGAGGAGCCAGUCACAAAUAUUGAUUGAAGAUAUUCCAACAUGGAUGAGUCAGCAGCAAUAACAAUUGGAACUUCGAGAUGUCCAGAUCUUGAAAUUGGAAGCUCAAGUCCAUGUACUAGAUGAGUAUAAUGAAGAUCUAUCAAACCAGUUGAGGAAGGAGUCGAUGGAUUGGAGGAAGAAGAAGAAGAUUUGUAAUUCGAAUCAGAUUUGGUCGAACUUACAUUCGAUAAUGCAACAAAUGAUUAAUUAGGUGGGCCAGAGGAACUAGUAACUUCGUUGAGAUUUAUAAAGUAGUUAUUAGUUAGGUAUCAAUUGAGUGUUUGCGAGGAUGCUGCACAGAUAAGAAUGGGGCUAUGUAGAAUAGAAAUUAAUUCGUUUUUGAAAGAUAUUGAUAAAAUAUAUUAAUAAUCCAUAUAAUAGAAAAUUCAGGAAGACAGAUGAGUGAUUUAGUUCUUAAAAGGGAUUAAUUACAAAAUUACGGUUAGAAUUUGGAGAAUCAAGGGAAAGUAUAUAGGAGUUGUAGAAGUUAAUUAAGAUGUUAUUGCUGUGAUAGUGUCAGCCGGGGUAAGCUUGGUGCUACCUCUUUUCUUUUGUUUGUUAUUUUCUUUGAAUAAGAAGAUUGAGAAUUUCUGAAUAUUGUGAAGUGAAUUAUGGAAUGGAAAUGUGAUUGGUAUUAUUUGAAAAAAAAAAAGAUUGAAUGCUGAAAUCUAAUUGUAGUUCAGUAAAGAGAAUGAAUCUAUAUUUGUGUUAAACACCUUAAUGUGAAUGGCAGUUCUGUAUGAAGAAUUGUAAUGAUUGGAAUGAAGGUAAUUGUG